AAGUCGUAACAAGGUUUCCGUAGGUGAACCUGCGGAAGGAUCAUUAUCACGUAUCCACGUAUAAACCAAUCCGUGAACUGUUUAUCACUCACCUCUGAGCUAUGGCCGCUGUCAUUGGACACAUGAGUUCAUUGUAUGAUUAUGUGACUCGUCCUUUGGCAAUUAAGGCUGUCUCUUCGGAGCGUAUUAAUCAUACUUUUUUAACAUUAACCACUUGAACACUAUAUCAUUUUCUUUGUUUGAACUGAUUUGUUUCUUACUCAGCGCGCGUAACACCGCGCCGAGAAGAAAUCGAUUUACGAAACAAAAAAGAACAACUCUUAGCAACGGAUAUCUUGGUUCUC
RNAcentral lists this unclassified non-coding RNA (344 nucleotides) under fungal sp. RNAcentral describes it as "partial internal transcribed spacer region". The stretch from base 1 to 46 matches the Rfam family "Eukaryotic small subunit ribosomal RNA", at positions 1786 to 1831 of the family's 1831-position model. The record is from RNAcentral. Lineage: Eukaryota; Fungi. RNAcentral also lists the same sequence under 1 other name.